GAUCUUUAUUUUUGUUAUUUAUAAAUUAAAAAGAAUUUUAAAAUUUAUAAUUUAAUAAAAAAUUUUAUUGGGGUGAUAUUAAAAUUUAAAAAACUUUUAAGAUUUAUUAACAUUAAUAUAUGAAUAAAUGAUCCAGUUUUAUUGAUUAAAAAUUUAAGUUACCUUAGGGAUAACAGCGUAAUUUUUUUUUAGAGUUCAUAUCGACAAAAAAGAUUGC
Molecule: ribosomal RNA, 217 nt
Filed under: Culex usquatus
Lineage: Eukaryota; Metazoa; Arthropoda; Insecta; Diptera; Culicidae
Description: partial 16S ribosomal RNA
Source: RNAcentral